UACGUAGGGUGCGAGCGUUAAUCGGAAUUACUGGGCGUAAAGCGUGCGCAGGCGGUUUUGUAAGCCGGAUGUGAAAUCCCCGGGCUUAACCUGGGAAUGGCAUUCGGGACUGCAAGGCUGGAGUGCGGCAGAGGAGACUGGAAUUCCUGGUGUAGCAGUGAAAUGCGUAGAGAUGUGGAGGAAUACCGAUGGCGAAGGCAGCCUCCUGGGCCAACACUGACGCUCAUGCACGAAAGCGUGGGGAGCAAACAGG
This 253-nucleotide ribosomal RNA is filed under the name uncultured bacterium. Its description in RNAcentral is "partial 16S ribosomal RNA". It matches the Rfam family "Bacterial small subunit ribosomal RNA", at positions 524 to 776 of the family's 1533-position model. The record is from RNAcentral.